CAUAUUCAACGACUCUAGUACAGCUUUACCCUAUAUUUGUUGCAACAUACCGACCAAGUACUCGUACCGGCGCUCCCUGUGAAUCCUACUGUGUGGGGUCGGGAACAAGCAGUUGUCCUAACACGAUGGCGGAGUGGGAUCUAGAAGUUUCCAUGGAAAUGCCGCACUGGCUCUUCUCUGCCUAUGGCGCCCAUCCACUAUAAAGAAAAAGUGACUCGAGGCAGUUAUCCAACCAUGGUGGGGGAGGUGGCGAACCGGACGUCGCCCCCCUGGAGGAGCUUGGAUGGCAAGGUCGUGAUGGUCACCGGCGCCUCCUCCGGCAUUGGCUGGGACCAUUGCCUCGACCUCGCCAGGGCCGGUUGCCGGAUCAUCGAGGCCGCGCGGCGGACAGACCGGCUGAGAUCCAUCUGCGAGGAGAUCAACGGUCCGGAUCGUCAGAGACCUCCGCCAUCCGAUCGGUGGCGAUCGAGCUGGAUAUGAGCUCGGGUGAGCCGGCGAUCUCGGCCUCGGUUCAGAGGGCGUGGGAUACGUUUGAUCGGAUCGAUGGGUUGGUGAACAACGCCGGAAUUCGAGGUAAAUAUUUUUCCCUCUCGUUUUUCUCUUUCUUUUGAUGAAGGUAGUUCCGAGAUCAUCAAGAUUUCGGUGCUCAAUUCGUAGGGCACUUGCUGUCCUACACGAGAAUGUUCCUUUGGAGUCCUGGAUCACACAAAAAUAGGAAUUAAAGUGGGCAUUCAAGAAUGGUGAGAGAGAGAGAGAGAGAGAGGAUUGAUGGCCGAUUCCUUUCUUCUUGGCCGUCGGGUUAUGCUGUUAAAAGCUUUAUGAGCAUUUAGAUCGGGAUCAUUAUUUGUUGUCGAUAAAGCUUAGUGAAGAAGAGUAUAUAUAUAUAUAAUAAGAAAGGAGAUUGUUCUUUGUGGUUGUUGUUUUUGUUGUCCUAUGAGCAUUUAGAUCGGGAUCAUUUAGAGAGAGAGAGAGAGAGAGAGGAUUAUGCUGGUAAAAGCUUUAUGGGUAAUUAGAUCGGGAUCAUUGUUUGUUGUCGAUAAAGCCAUGUGAAGCAGGGUACAGAAUGAGAAUGUUCUUUGUUGUUGUUCUAUGCAUGACACAGGAAAGAAUCAACCAAUGAAUCUUGAAUUAUAAUGGGAUGUCAGAUUGGGAAAGUUUGCUCAGAGUUAUUUGGAGAUAUUCUUUAAGUUAGGUUUUAAGAUCUCAAGACGGUGGUAGCAGGAUCCCAGCAUUUGACAUGGAUUGAACUGUGAGCUUAGCAAACUUCAAGAACUCCAAUCAUAUGAGUUACCGGUGUUAUAUAGAUUGUAUAGGUGAAUCGAUAUAUGGAAGAUGCCUCGAGAAAAGAAAUAGUACGCUGUCUUUGAACUGCUAGUCUCUGAUGAUUUCUUUUAAUCCUCUUCAUGUUCGGUUUCGCAGCAAAGAUGUAUAUAUUCUUCUUCACGUUC
Long non-coding RNA from Musa acuminata AAA Group (dessert banana), 1448 nucleotides. RefSeq lists it as uncharacterized. NCBI's taxonomy places the organism in Eukaryota, Viridiplantae, Streptophyta, Magnoliopsida, Zingiberales, Musaceae. The transcript has 2 exons. The record is from RefSeq and is a predicted model, not a curated record.